GACGAACGCUGGCGGCGUGCCUAACACAUGCAAGUCGAGCGGGGUUGAAGCGAGGGGUAACUCGAGUUUCUACCUAGCGGCGGACGGGUGAGUAACGCGUGGGCAACCUGCCUCAAGGACUGGGAUAACAGCUCGAAAGGGCUGCUAAUACCGGAUAAGCCUAUGGCCUCGCAUGGGGCCAUGAGCAAAGGGGAAACCUGCCUUGAGAUGGGCCCGCGUCCCAUCAGCUAGUUGGUGAGGUGAAGGCUCACCAAGGCGACGACGGGUAGCCGGCCUGAGAGGGUGACCGGCCACACUGGGACUGAGACACGGCCCAGACUCCUACGGGGGCAGCAGUGGGGAAUCUUGCACAAUGGGCGAAAGCCUGAUGCAGCGACGCCGCGUGAGCGAAGAAGGCCUUCGGGUUGUAAAGCUCUGUCUGGAGGGACGAAGGAGUGACGGUACCUCCGGAGGAAGCCACGGCUAACUACGUGCCAGCAGCCGCGGUAAUAUCACGUGUACCG
RNAcentral lists this ribosomal RNA (503 nucleotides) under uncultured bacterium. Its description in RNAcentral is "bacterial SSU rRNA". It matches the Rfam family "Bacterial small subunit ribosomal RNA", at positions 28 to 536 of the family's 1533-position model. The record is from RNAcentral.